AUACGGAGGGUGCGAGCGUAAAUCGGAAUUACUGGGCGUAAAGCGUGCGUAGGCGGUUUGCUAAGUCAGAUGUGAAAGCCCCGGGCUUAACCUGGGAACUGCAUUUGAUACUGGCAGACUAGAGUAUGAUAGAGGGGGGUAGAAUUCCUGGUGUAGCGGUGAAAUGCGUAGAUAUCAGGAGGAAUACCAGUGGCGAAGGCGGCCCCCUGGAUCAAUACUGACGCUGAGGUACGAAAGCGUGGGGAGCGAACAGGAUUAGAAACCCUAGUAGUCC
Molecule: ribosomal RNA, 274 nt
Filed under: uncultured bacterium
Lineage: Bacteria
Description: partial 16S ribosomal RNA
Rfam family: Bacterial small subunit ribosomal RNA
Source: RNAcentral